AAGCUUCGGCGUCAGGCGCGUUGCCGCCCGUACCCCAAACCGACACUGGUGGUCAGGUAGAGAAUACCAAAGCGAUCGAGCGAAUCCUGGUCAAGGAACUCGGCAAAUUGCUCCCGUGCCUUCGGCAUAAGGGAGACCCCCUGCGGUGAUGAGCGGUGGGGGGUGGCACAGGCCAGGGGGUAGCGACUGUUUACCAAAAACACAGGAGCGUGCGAAGGCGCAAGCCGCUGUAUACGCUCUGACGCCUGCCCGGUGCCGGAAGGUUAAGAGGAUCCGUCAGCUUUCUGCGAAGCGGUGAAUUCAAGCCCCGGUAAACGGCGGUGGUAACGAUAACCAUCCUAAGGUAGCGAAAUUCCUUGUCGGGUAAGUUCCGACCUGCACGAAUGGCGUAACGACUUCCCCACUGUCUCGACCAGGAGCUCGGCGAAAUUGCAGUACGAGUAAAGAUGCUCGUUAAGCGCAGAAGGACGAAAAGACCCCGGGACCUUUACUAUACCUUGGUAUUGGCAUUAGGCGCGGAUUGUGUAGCAUAGGCGGGAGGCUUCGAGGCGGGUGCGCCAGCAUCCGCGGAGCCGCAAGGUGAAAUACCGCUCUGUUCUCGUUUGAUGUCUAACCUCGAACAGUCAUCCUGUUCAGGGACAGUGCCUGGCGGGUAGUUCAACUGGGGCGGUUGCCUCCCAAAGAGUAACGGAGGCGCUCAAAGGUCCGCUCGGCCCGGUUGGCAAUCGGGUGUCGAGUGUAAUCGCACAAGCGGGCUUGACUGCGAGAUCGACGGAUCAGGCAGGGACGAAAGUCGGAGAUAGUGAUCCGGUGCCGGCGCACGGGCGCGGCAUCGCUCAACGGAUAAAAGGUACCCCGGGGAUAACAGGCUGAUCAUUCCCAAGAGUCCAUAUCGACGGGAUGGUUUGGCACCUCGAUGUCGGCUCGUCGCAUCCUGGGGCUGGAGCAGGUCCCAAGGGUUCGGCUGUUCGCCGAUCAAAGCGGCACGCGAGCUGGGUUCAGAACGUCGUGAGACAGUUUGGUCUCUAUCCUCUGCGCUCGUUGGAAUCUUGAGGAGGCCUGCCCAUAGUACGAGAGGACCUGGGUGGACGAACCUCUGGUAUGCCGGUCGUCACGCCAGUGGCGCGGCCGGUUGGCUACGUUCGGAAGGGAUAACCGCUGAAAGCAUCUAAGCGGGAAGCCUUCUCCAAGAUAAGGAUUCCAUGCGGCCCCGAGCCGCUGAAGACCCCAUGCAGAACACGUGGUCGAUAGGCCGGACGUGGAAGCCCCGCGAGGGGUGGAGCCGACCGGUACUAAUGGUCGAGACG
RNAcentral lists this ribosomal RNA (1307 nucleotides) under metagenome. Its description in RNAcentral is "bacterial LSU rRNA". It matches the Rfam family "Bacterial large subunit ribosomal RNA", at positions 1615 to 2914 of the family's 2925-position model. The record is from RNAcentral.